GCGUUUGCUCCCGUUUGGUGGGUGUGAUCACUUGAAAUCGCAAAACUCGUGCAGCACACAGCAUACAAUCUCUCUCUGGCCCACAUAAUCACAUCGGUAUUAAACUGGUCGUUCAGUACAUGAUCGUUUCCGUUGAAUUAAACUUUCAAUACCAUUCUGUCAUACUGAACGCACCCCUGAUCCCAUGGCAACGGUGCAUGGAACAUUAGUUCCUAAGCAACAUUGUAGUGAAAGUUCUUUUUUGCUCGCUGCUACUGGUCAAGUGACCUAGCUAGCUAUGAAGUUCACCCAUACUUUUCUUGCAAGUCAAGACGUGUUUUUCAUUCAAAGUUCUACCCAGGAUGUGCCCAGCAUUGAAGACAGACACAGAGAUACUGAGGCCAUCAGAGGAUGUCAAUGAGAGACUCAUCCUGCACCACCUACAGCACUAUGGACUCUUUACAAGCACAGAGAAUUCUUUCCAAAGCAACCUCUUAAGACAAAGAUGGAGGGAUUCCCACCACCCCGGAUCCAUCCACCCAGGCACCCACUCCUCUGACAGCAAUAAUUCCAACAUGGAGGAUGAGGAGCAGGAGCCUGGCAGGAGGGCAUUCACCUUGCACCUGGGACAGGCCCUCAGGACCAGGCAGCUGGUAAUAGAUUUUGACGGGGAGCGUCCCAUCCCCCGGCUUAGGGAGCCCCUGGACCUGUUUGCCAUCCCCUCCACCCCUUUCCAGGGGGUCCGCUGGCCCAUUGAGUAUGAGGUCUUCAAGGAAGCCAUACACCACAUAGAGUGGGACCCUCCAGACCCAGAGCCGUUCUACCAGCCCACGGGCCAUGAGAGGGCCCCCAUGCCUGUCGGGGAGGAAAAGGGGAAUGUGGUUUACUGCAUUGACCCAGGCACAAAGACCUCCUACUUCACCUACUCUCGUGUGGGAGGAAGCCGGGGGCCCAUCAAGAGCUCCACCUCUUUUGCCAUGCAUCAGGACAAGUCCACCCUGGCCUUUGAAUCACGCUUCGAGAGCGGCAACCUGCAGAAGGCAGUUCAAGUCGGUGUCCAUGACUAUGAGCUCACCCUCCGCACCGACAUGUACACCACCAAGCACACGCAGUGGUUCUACUUCCGGGUCAGAAACAUGAAGGCGGGGGUCACCUAUCGCUUCACCAUAGUCAACUUGAUGAAGGCUAGCAGUCUGUACUGCCUGGGCAUGAGGCCUCUGCUCUACUCUGAAAGAGCCGCCUGGGAGAAGGGAGAGGGCUGGCGCCGAACUGGCUCUAACAUUAGAUACUACCGCAACCAGCACCACCAGGCUGAGCAGGACAACAACACUACCACCAACACAGAGUCCCUCCACUCCCUUACCUGGACUGGCCAGUUCCCCUACGACUCAGACACCUGCUAUUUGGCCCACUGUUACCCUUACACCUACUCCCACCUGCAGCGCUACCUCAGCCGCCUCACCUCCAACUCAGCCACCGGCGCCUACUGCAAGCUGCGGGUGCUGUGCCGCAGCCUGGCCGGCAACGCUGUGCACGUGCUGACAGUGACGUCACCAGGAGGGGGGUGGAUGGAUAGGAGUGCCAAGCGGGCGGUGGUGGUGACAGCCAGGGUGCACCCCGGGGAGACCAACAGCUCCUGGAUGAUGCAGGGCUUCCUGGACUUCCUGCUGGGAGAGUCAGACGAUGCCAGGCUGCUGAGGGAGACUUUUGUGUUUAAGGUGGUGCCCAUGCUGAACCCAGACGGGGUGGUUGUGGGGAACUACCGCUGCUCUCUGGCCGGCAGGGACCUGAACAGGAACUACAAUACCCUGCUGAGGGACUCCUUCCCCUGUGUCUGGCACACCAGGAACAUGGUCAAGAGACUGAUGGCUGAGAGGGACGUGGUGUUGUAUUGUGAUUUCCACGGUCACAGUCGUAAGAACAACGUCUUCAUGUACGGCUGUACCAACAGCGACGAUGCCACACAACGACUCCAUGAGAGAGUCUUCCCGCUCAUGAUGAGCAAGAACGCCAAUGACAAGUUCUCGUUCAGGAGCUGUAAGUUCAGGGUUCAUCAGAGUAAAGAGGGAACAGGACGCGUCGUCAUGUGGAGGCUAGGCAUCAGGAACAGCUACACCAUGGAGUCCACCUUCGGAGGCUCCACUCUGGGGAACAGGAAGGGGACCCAUUUCACCACCAGGGACCUGAAGUCUCUGGGGUAUUACUUAUGUGACACACUGCUGGACUACUGUGAUCCCGACCCAACCAAGACCAGUCACUGCCUAGCCGAGUUGCGGGCGAUGUUAAGGCAGGAGGUCAGAGAGAGGCUGGGCCGGGAGGUUGACUCUGAUGGAUCUCUCAGCGUCUCCAUUUCUGACAUUGAGUCCAGUACCAGCGGCUCAAACAGCACAGAGUCUGAUGGCCUGCCUGUCCAUCUACUGAACCGAAUUGAUGAGCAGAGCCAAGCGAAGAAGAAGCAACUGAGGAGUAGUAAGGAGAGGAACAGACUGAGACAGGAGAGAAUGAGGAACGUCGACCCAAAGGUCAUCCACAGGAACAUCAAGAACAUAGACCCUGUGCUACCCACUGAGGACAUGGUGAAGGUGAGGAUCGAGGAAAAGACGGUGGCUGUGGUCAGAGAGAAGAAGAAGAAGAGAGAGGUGCCGUUUGUGGUGACAGUGAGCCGUCAGACAGGACGCUCCUGGAUCCCCCAUCCCACCACUCGCAUCGGGGUCAUAGGCCAUGUGACCCUCUGGCAGGAGGAGGAGUCAGAGAAGAAUGAAUACCUGGACGCUGUAAGGGCUGCAUACCUGCGUACUCAGCCACCUGUCACAGAGGAGCCGGAGGAGGAGCGGCUGCAGUAUUGGAGUCCCCAGCUGCAGUUUGGCUCCUCCCAGGCCCCGUGGCCGGGACCUCAGCGUCGCCCCUUAUCUUUUACAGCCAUACAGCAACGUGGCUUCUCUGUGCCUGUGCCCACCUCGAAGAUCAGGGUUCACACCACCCCCAUUCAGCAGCAACCCAUACCCUUCAGCCCCGAUCACAGAAGCCACGCUGGGAUGAAAGAGAGGAUGCCUGCUUUACACACCAGGUCUUCCCCAGUAGUUCCGGGCAUGCAGUGCAGGGUGGUCCCUGAGUUCAUCCUGCCACAAGGCCUGGAGCCCUGCCGCUCUUCCAACGUCUACCCAGCCAAGUCCCACCACCAGUGGCCACGCCCAGAGAAACAAGGCCACGCAGCCCGGGUCUCCAUACGCUAUUACAUGCCAGAGGCUCCGACCUCUAACACAGACGCCCUGGAGCCCCUACGGAGGAGCCCAGAAAGGGACUGCACAGCAGGUGUAUCAGGCGCUAUGCCUGUGGGUGAGCAGGACCAGAGUGGACCUCAAGCAGCCUUUGAGAAGCCACUGAGUAAACCUGGGACAGACGGUAACUCCUUCCUGCCAGACCUGAGGCACAUAGACUUCAGAGGGAAAAGCCAUGGCCGUCUAUGGGGGGACCAGGCAGGGGCUGGAGUACAGAGGCAGGGCCCCUCAAAGAGAGAGCCGCUGAGGGGGGGAGAAGGCAGGCGUGUGUGUGGAGGAGAUGCAGCAGCAAGGCGUGUGAAAAGCAACCACAGGUUGGCCCAACAGACAUUGCAAGAGGAGGAUAAACAGGAAAUGGGCAUUUUACCCCAGAUGUCCUCGACCACCCUCACCAAGAUAGAUCAUCCGCCCCCACAGCUAGACAGUCUACGUAGGCUCCAGAAACUCAGCCUGGCCAAGACCUCCAGGUUCCACUCCAGUGGGAGAGGGGAGGAAGCAGGGACAGGGAUGGAUCUGGAGAAGAGGAUGGUUGCCAGACCGUCAGGGUCUGCCCCUCCUCGCAGUACAGCACCUUUGAGCUGAGAACCAGGCAGGGACACACAUUGACAAAUGUACCAGACAGACUGCUGAUAUGAACCCCUGAAGAUGGGCGGAGGCUAUAGGGAGUUUCUGCUCUAUUUUCACCACAAGAAGAUGUACAGCACAUUGCCUUUCAGUGUUCAUCUCUGUUUCUGUGUGUCCGUUCAACCGAGCAGUCAGGCGGCCCUCAGAUCCUGAAUCCCAUCAAAUCAGAGGUGCCAACUCUCACGCAUUGACCGUGAGACACAUGGAUUUGACCCUCAUCUCAUGCAACCACGGCACACCUCUUACAUCUCACACAUUGAAAAGUACUGCAUUUAUUUUUCUAAUUCGUGUUGUGCUCCAAAUCGUUUUGAAAUUGGAAAAUCUGCGACCGAGGUUAAGACUCAGGUUGAUUCAGGUUGGAUAUUCGCCUGUAGUUUUCCUUAUGUCCACCAACAGCAGUUAGGGACCGUCAACAUAUGUCACUAUCACAUUUUUCACAUUUCAAUAGCUCUUUAACCAUUACUCCUAAAAUGUUCAAAACUGAUUCUCGCUAACCCAAUGUCAGAGACACAUAUUGCACACACGUUUUUUUGUCGAUUUACAUCUCGCACUAUUUUAAAUUAUUUAUGAAAAAAAUUGUACACAAACCUCUAAGGUUCAUAAUGUACACUCAGUGGGCCUACACAUUGCACACCCUUUUGCAUCUCAUGAGAUUUUAUGAGAAUUUUUUGAAGUUUCAAAUUUCAAUAGCUCCUUAUCGUCAUAUGACCUACAACCCUUUCAGAAUAUUCACUGAGUACUGAGGUUAAGACAGUUUCAGGUUGGAUAUUCGCCAGAUAUUCGCACUUUCAAACCUCAAUAGCUUUCAAACCACUUGAGCCACAGACUCCAAAUAAGUGUCAUGAUGUUGGAAACAUUGCGCACAACAUUGCACAGGUCUUAUUUUCACGAUUUGGACAUGAAUUCACUUUUCAAAGCUAAUAAACGUGGAAAUGUGAGCAGCGUUCCAUAUUAGUUAGGGAGUGUAAACAAAGUACAAACUUGCUUUACAUUUGAAUUUCAAUAGCUCUUUGGUCAUGUGACCUACUGGACUAAAAGAAGGUUCAGAAUGUCCACUGACUACCCUUCUAUAUUACACACCCAUUUGUUUGCCUCUUUUCAUUUCAGGUGAUUUUACAUGAAUUUUUCAAUCUUUAGAAUUUCAAUAGCUCCUCGGUCAUGUGACCUACUGACCUCAAACAAACUGAAGGUUCACCUAAGAAGUAUGCAGUGGAUAUAUACCCAUAUUGCAUAACCUUUAGUUAUGUAUCUUCUAUAUUGUUGUAGAUGAAUAUUAGUUUGACAAUUAGGGGGUUCAGUCCAGUGUUAUGGUUACCCUUUUCUUUAAUGUUUAUCUAUAAUAAUUGGUAGUUCUGAGUACUUAUUUUUCCUUUCCUUAAGUAUUUAUUUUGCCACAGUAUUUACCACCGUUACACAAUAGGAGAGAUAAAGAGAAUAUCUCCCUCCAUCGUUAAUAUGAACCAUAAAGGAAAAGGGUAAAUUACGAGAGUCAUAUUAUUAAUUGUCCAAAGCAGGGAUGGAGAGUUAACUGCACGGCCAAAGUCAAAAUUAACAGAACUAGUUAGUAGUAUACAUUUAUGUACCAGGGAAAACAAGGCUUUGACUUGAAAUAACUUACCAGUCACACAAAAAGCUUAGUCUUUGAUAUUUCAACCCUAGUAAGGACAAAAAUGCUUUUAGACCUACAAGCUACAUUGAAGCUUCAGACUAUUGUUUCUGUGGGCCAUUUGACAGGUAGUUUACAUCAACAUGGAAAAGCACAGUCUCCAGUCCGACAGGGAAUAAGCAUCUGGUUCAAACAUAUUGUUAAAGAAUAUUCAUAAUAGCAGAACCUGUGUUGCUUUGUUCGUUGACUAUAAACAUUGCCAGAUUGUUUACAUGACGGUGCCUGUAUCAUUCAGCAAUAGCAAAUGUUAUCUCUCUGGCGGCAAACAGACUUGCUGUCUCCAGCUGACCAUUUGCCCACUGGCCUGGGCAAAUGUGCGUCUUUGUCAUCUUAUCAAAGACCACGUUGUCCUUAACCACGACAGCUUUCCCAAGGGAAAAAGCAGAGUCAUACAGACAUUCUAAAUUACUCAUAAAACACCUCAGGAAUUCUCGUUUUCUUCAAAGAUGAAAGGAUUCCCUCUAAGAUAGUCAUACAAAUGUAAGCAUUUGAAAUGCAUUUAUUAGUGUAUUUCUUAUUAUUACCUUGUAAAAGUUGAAUGUAGUUACAGGUGAAGAUGGGCCUGCUAUGUAAUUGUUAGUUGUGUAGUUCUAACUUUUUAUAAACAUUUUGUAAUAUAGAAUAAUUAUUUAUGACAAAAGAUGUGGAAGUUUACAGGUUUAUUCAAGAAAUUGGAUGUAAGAAAUCUGCAGAUUGUCCUCCAUUAAAUUAACUAAUGGUCUUUGAA
This is an RNA transcript of Salmo salar (Atlantic salmon), 6274 nucleotides long. It is a transcript of the gene named AGBL carboxypeptidase 2, with no coding region annotated. The record is from RefSeq and is a predicted model, not a curated record. Lineage: Eukaryota; Metazoa; Chordata; Actinopteri; Salmoniformes; Salmonidae.